AUAAAGAAAAUAUUUAUUUAUUUGAAAAAGUCAAAACAGGCAAAUAGAGAAACAAUGAUUCAAACAAUAAAACUUCCCGAGUGAAAUAUGGCUUUUUAAAAUUUAUAAUAAACUAAUUACAUUGCAAAGUUGCUCUACAAGUUUCAUUAAUGUUUUAGGUAAUGUACAGAUUUUUAAUACAACACCUAGUUAUUUUUUUUUAUAACAAAUGACUCAGUUUACCUGGGACUAACGUUUGAUUCACCCAGUUGGCCUGAGACUAACAGUUGAUUGACCCAGUUGACCUGGGACUUACAAAUAAGAACAAAAACUAACAAAUAGACACAUUAGGAUGAUAUACUAACAAAUAGACACAUUAGAAUGAUAUA
This is a non-coding RNA of Biomphalaria pfeifferi, 368 nucleotides long. NCBI's taxonomy places the organism in Eukaryota, Metazoa, Mollusca, Gastropoda, Planorbidae. The record is from the annotation of a GenBank genome assembly.